GCAACUUCCCGUUCACGAACGAGUCAGUCGAUAGCGUUUUCCACCUGCGAUGCGAUAAAGCUGGCCCCAAACGAAACAGACUAUUUUCCUUGCACUUUGCGUGGGGUGGGGUGGGUGGGGGGCCAGCUUCACGCAGGUGCCAAUGGCUGAUGCGGCGGCGGCAAGUGCCGCCCGCCAGCCCGUUUCUCGCUGCAGUUUGUCUUCGUUGCACUCGCCUUAAACAUGCCCUGGAUAGAGGGAGGCUUCGUUCGACGCCAUAUCCGAGUCGUAAUGCUUGAUCGCGUUUUGACGCGAUAGUGAGCGGUGGAUUAAGUCGGGCAAGUCUGAAGGCACCACCGCUUCAGGUAAGGCACCACCGCUUCAGGUAAGGCACCACCGCUUCAGGCAAGGCACCACCGCUUCAGGCAAGGCACCACCGCUUCAGGUAAGGCACCACCGCUUCAGGCAAGGCACCACCGCUUCAGGUAAGGCACGUGACAUCGUUAACUUGGUGAGCUUGGCAUCGAUUCUUGACGCAGAAUCGUGGCUCUCUCCAGCGGCGAUAACGUGACAUUGCAAUGUCCCCGGAUCAUUCUUGUUGAACUCUGCCUCCCUCCAGGGGUACAACGUUGACAUUACAACACCUUAGCGUUGUGUCUGAUUCCAUUUUUGCUAAUGGUGCACAGUCCGUGUUGAAGAGAUUCGAAAACUUUUGAAAGUAUACUCGGGCAACUGGCAACAAAGUUGAGCCAUUGAACCUGAUGGGAGCCCAGAGACCCCCCCACCCAUCCCCAACCACAGUGAAUUGUUCCAUCUAGAAAACUUUAUUGAACAACAGAAACGGCACAGCAGCAAGCACAUAAAACUGGGAAAUGCACACGCAUUGCACUUCAUCUUAAAUAGACACGCACGCAUCCAGCAUGAGCAGUCAAAUGUUUUUGUUGUAGCAAAAGUGAGGCCCCCCCCCCAAAAUCCUCACGAGAA
Syngnathus typhle (broad-nosed pipefish) is the source of this 963-nucleotide long non-coding RNA. RefSeq lists it as uncharacterized. NCBI's taxonomy places the organism in Eukaryota, Metazoa, Chordata, Actinopteri, Syngnathiformes, Syngnathidae. The transcript has 2 exons. The record is from RefSeq and is a predicted model, not a curated record.